Long non-coding RNA from Mus spicilegus (steppe mouse), 596 nucleotides. The record is from Ensembl. NCBI's taxonomy places the organism in Eukaryota, Metazoa, Chordata, Mammalia, Rodentia, Muridae.
GGACCACCAUCGCCACCACAGUUAUCAGCAUCAUCACCAGAUCUCCACUUCAGGGUGCAAAGCUGAUGGACAAUUGGGAAGAUUUCAAGGACCGAAGGAGAAUCUAGAUAUUCUUAAAAGAUGAAAAGGAGGGAUAGAGCAUCGAGGACAAGAAGAGGUUAAUAAUGUAAGAAGAAUAUGGGGUGGGCCCAUAUUGUGUACUGGGCCAAGAAGCUCCCUUCCAUUCCCAAGGCUGCUGUGGAUGGAGAGCAGUUCUCAGAUCACCCAGCUAUACCCACUUGUUGGGACCUGGUGAGUGAUCUUGCUCAACUUCUUCCCAGUGGAAGAAGGUGAGAGUGAAAGAGGUCGAGUGACUCAGGUAGCAAGCCCAAACAGGGCCUACCCUUGUUAGUUUUAAGACAGCGCUUUUGCUUUGGGUUUUAUUGUUUUCAACUGCAUUUCUGAUUUUGAGAUUGUGUUCUAACCAGUUGGAAGAACUCAUGAAGAAUUCCACUUGUCGCCUUUACUGUUUUCCACAAAUGGCAACAUCUUCACUAAGAUAUUGAUUUUGGUGCCAUGAACCACACAUUUUCAUCAACUAAACAUCUUACCGUGCU